This 777-nucleotide long non-coding RNA is filed under the name Populus trichocarpa (black cottonwood). Its description in RNAcentral is "long non-coding RNA (PTRI_LNC001288)". The record is from RNAcentral. Lineage: Eukaryota; Viridiplantae; Streptophyta; Magnoliopsida; Malpighiales; Salicaceae.
UCUUCCCACCAAAGCCUUUUCCUCCACCACUUCCAGUCUACAAGAAGCCACUCCCACCUCCAGUUCCAAUCUACAAGCCAGAGCCAAAACCACCAGUCUUCAAGCCUCCUCCGGUCCCAAUCUACAAGAAGCCACUCCCACCUCCAGUUCCAAUCUACAAGCCAGAGCCAAAACCACCAGUCUUCAAGCCUCCUCCGGUCCCAAUCUACAAGCCAAAACCACCAGUCUUCAAGCCUCCUCCGAUCCCAAUCUACAAGAAGCCACUCCCACCUCCAGUUCCAAUCUACAAGCCAGAGCCAAAACCACCAGUCUUCAAGCCUCCUCCGGUCCCAAUCUACAAGAAGCCACUCCCACCUCCAGUUCCAAUCUACAAGCCAGAGCCAAAACCACCAGUUUUCAAGCCUCCUCCGGUCCCAAUCUACAAGCCAAAACCACCAGUCUUCAAGCCUCCUCCGGUCCCAAUCUAUAAGAAGCCACUCCCACCUCCAGUUCCAAUCUACAAGCCAGAGCCAAAACCACCAGUUUUCAAGCCUCCUCCGGUCCCAAUCUACAAGCCAAAACCACCAGUCUUCAAACCCCCUCCUGUUCCAGUCUACAAACCAAAGCCAAAACCACCAAUCUACAAGCCUCUCCCACCUCCUGUUCCCAUCUCCAAGCCUCUCCCUCCAAUCCCAAAGAUCCCUCCAUUUUAUAAGAAGCCAUUGCCCCCUCUUCCUAAGCUUCCCCCUCACCCCAAGAUUCCCCCAAUCUACAAGCCUAAACCACCAGUCUUCAAGC